CCAGCCAUGCCGCGUGAUUGAUGAAGGCCUUAGGGUUGUAAAGAUCUUUCAGAUGGGAAGAUAAUGACGGUACCUUCAGAAGAAGCUCCGGCUAACUCCGUGCCAGCAGCCGCGGUAAUACGGAGGGAGCUAGCGUUGUUCGGAAUUACUGGGCGUAAAGCGUACGUAGGCGGACUAUUAAGUCAGAGGUGAAAUCCCAGGGCUCAACCCUGGAACUGCCUUUGAUACUGGUAGUCUAUAGGUCGAGAGAGGUGAGUGGAAUUCCGAGUGUAGAGGUGAAAUUCCGUAAAUAUUCGGAGGAACACCAGUGGCGAAGGCGGCUCACUGGCUCGAUACUGACGCUGAAGUACGAAAGUGUGGGUAGCAAACAGGAUUAAAUACCCUGGUAGUCCACCCCGUAAACGAUGAAUGCUAGUCGUCAGGGGACUUGUCCUUUGGUGACCCACCUAACGCAUUAAGCAUUCCGCCUGGGGAGUACGGUCGCAAGAUUAAAACUCAAAGGAAUUGACGGCGG
RNAcentral lists this ribosomal RNA (514 nucleotides) under uncultured Rhodobacterales bacterium. RNAcentral describes it as "bacterial SSU rRNA". It matches the Rfam family "Bacterial small subunit ribosomal RNA", at positions 388 to 919 of the family's 1533-position model. The record is from RNAcentral. Lineage: Bacteria; Pseudomonadati; Pseudomonadota; Alphaproteobacteria; Rhodobacterales.